Molecule: non-coding RNA, 28 nt
Filed under: Mus musculus (house mouse)
Lineage: Eukaryota; Metazoa; Chordata; Mammalia; Rodentia; Muridae
Source: RNAcentral
AUGAUCAGUUGUGGCUUUACUAUUGGUC